AAGCUAGAUCGUAAGGACUAGUGGAGCGCUUAGAAGUGAGAAUGCCGGCAUGAGUAGCGAAAGAUCAGUGAGAAUCUGAUCCACCGUAUGACUAAGGUUUCCUGGGGAAGGCUCGUCCUCCCAGGGUUAGUCGGGACCUAAGGCGAGGCCGAGAGGCGUAGUCGAUGGAUAACAGGUUGAUAUUCCUGUACUAGUUUAUUUUGUUUGAAUGAUGGAGGGACGCAGGAAGCUAAGGAAUGCACACGACUGGAAAUGUGUGUCCAAGCAACAAGUCUUGAGUUGAGUGAAAUGCUUGAUUCUUUAAGGACAAGUUGUGAUGGGGAGCGAAAUUAAGUAGCGAAGUUCCUGAUGUUACACUGCCAAGAAAAGCUUCUAGUGAGAAAUAAACUACCCGUACCGUAAACCGACACAGGUGGUCGAGGAGAAUAUCCUAAGGUGAGCGAGUGAACUCUCGUUAAGGAACUCGGCAAAAUGACCCCGUAACUUCGGGAGAAGGGGUGCUGACCGUCAGGUCAGCCGCAGUGAAUAGGCCCAAACAACUGUUUAUCAAAAACACAGGUCUCUGCAAAAUCGUAAGAUGACGUAUAGGGGCUGACGCCUGCCCGGUGCUGGAAGGUUAAGAGGAUGAGUUAGCGCAAGCGAAGCCCAGAAUUGAAGCCCCAGUAAACGGCGGCCGUAACUAUAACGGUCCUAAGGUAGCGAAAUUCCUUGUCGGGUAAGUUCCGACCCGCACGAAAGGCGUAAUGAUUUGGGCACUGUCUCAACGAGAGACUCGGUGAAAUUAUAAUACCCGUGAAGAUGCGGGUUACCCGCGACAGGACGGAAAGACCCCAUGGAGCUUUACUGUAGCUUGAUAUUGAGUGUUUGUACAGUUUGUACAGGAUAGGUAGGAGCCGUAGAAAUCGGAACGCUAGUUUCGAUUGAGGCGUUGGUGGGAUACUACCCUAACUGUAUGACCACUCUAACCCGCGCCACUUAGCGUGGCGGGAGACAGUGUCAGGUGGGCAGUUUGACUGGGGCGGUCGCCUCCUAAAGUGUAACGGAGGCGCUCAAAGGUUCUCUCAGAAUGGUUGGAAAUCAUUCGUAGAGUGUAAAGGUAUAAGAGAGCUUGACUGUGAGAUUGACAAAUCGAGCAGGGACGAAAGUCGGACUUAGUGAUCCGGUGGUUCCGUAUGGAAGGGCCAUCGCUCAACGGAUAAAAGCUACCCUGGGGAUAACAGGCUUAUCUCCCCCAAGAGUCCACAUCGACGGGGAGGUUUGGCACCUCGAUGUCGGCUCAUCGCAUCCUGGGGCUGUAGUCGGUCCCAAGGGUUGGGCUGUUCGCCCAUUAAAGCGGUACGCGAGCUGGGUUCAGAACGUCGUGAGACAGUUCGGUCCCUAUCCGUCGCGGGCGCAGGAAAUUUGAGAGGAGCUGUCCUUAGUACGAGAGGACCGGGAUGGACAUACCUCUGGUGUACCAGUUGUGCCGCCAGGCGCAUCGCUGGGUAGCUAUGUAUGGCAGGGAUAAACGCUGAAAGCAUCUAAGUGUGAAGCCCCCCUCGAGAUGAGAUUUCCCAUUCCUUUAU
Molecule: ribosomal RNA, 1565 nt
Filed under: Latilactobacillus sakei
Lineage: Bacteria; Bacillati; Bacillota; Bacilli; Lactobacillales; Lactobacillaceae
Description: bacterial LSU rRNA
Rfam family: Bacterial large subunit ribosomal RNA
Source: RNAcentral